GACGAACGCUGGCGGCGUGCUUAACACAUGCAAGUCGAACGGUGAAGCGCCUUCCUUUUUGGUGGGUGUGGAUGAGUGGCGAACGGGUGAGUAACACGUGAGUAACCUGCCCCCUUCUUCUGGAUAACCGCAUGAAAGUGUGGCUAAUACGGGAUAUUCUGGGUCUGUCGCAUGAUGGGUCUGGGAAAGAUAUUGUUUCGGUGGGGGAUGGGCUCGCGGCCUAUCAGCUUGUUGGUGGGGUGAUGGCCUACCAAGGCGGUGACGGGUAGCCGGCCUGAGAGGGUGGACGGUCACACUGGGACUGAGACACGGCCCAGACUCCUACGGGAGGCAGCAGUGGGGAAUAUUGCACAAUGGGCGCAAGCCCGAUGCAGCGACGCCGCGGGAGGGGUGGAGGCCUUCGGGUUGUGAACCUCUUUCGCCAGUGAAGCAGGCCUGCCUCGUUUGUGGGUGGGUUGACGGUAGCUGGAUAAGAAGCGCCGGCUAACUACGUG
RNAcentral lists this ribosomal RNA (494 nucleotides) under uncultured bacterium. RNAcentral describes it as "partial 16S ribosomal RNA". It matches the Rfam family "Bacterial small subunit ribosomal RNA", at positions 28 to 507 of the family's 1533-position model. The record is from RNAcentral.